This is a non-coding RNA of Xyrichtys novacula (pearly razorfish), 1192 nucleotides long. The record is from the annotation of a GenBank genome assembly. NCBI's taxonomy places the organism in Eukaryota, Metazoa, Chordata, Actinopteri, Labriformes, Labridae.
GGGAGGCGGUCGCGCCGGGGGCGGCGCAACGCGGCUCGGGCCCGACAGUGCCCCACCGGGGCCCUAGUUUCUUUUUCCUCCCCUUUGAACUGGAAAAUGGCCCACUUCCCACUGGCGAAAACUCAUGAAAUUUGGCAGGACGACCGGGCCUGGUGAAAAAUUUGAUAUUCUGAAGUCGCCCAAACAAUACAAUGCAAAAUGGCUCCAUAGCGCCCCCUAAGGUGAAAAAUUCACCUGACGCCUGUACGCUUUGUCAAAAUGACACAAAAAUUGACACACACAUGUAUCUCAAUAAGAUCUACAAAAAAGUCAGUGCGGGCGUAUCUGUCAAAUGUACGGUUAAAGGGUUAUUGCGCAUUUUUUGCCGAUCCGCACACAUUGGAAUUUCGCUAACUCCUCCAAAGGCUUUCGUUCCACCGGCACCACAUUUGCUCAGGCCAAUCUACACCCCAUGGCCAUUAAAAGUUAUUCAAAUCAUGACGCUGCACCCCACGGUUUAGGUUCUAGGGGGCGCCAAAGAUAACCCUAAAAUCCACAUAUUUCAAAGUCUUAUAACUUUUUAUUUUUGCCCUCACUGGCCUCCAAGUUUUCUAGGAUGAUGCAAUGUCCAGCCAUCAACACAUUUGUGAAGGAAUUUUUACUCCCCAAAAGAGCGCCCCCCAUGGCAGGAGAAAAAAGUCCAUUUUUUCUUGUCCCAUAAGGUGAAAAUUCACACUAUUGACUGUCACGCCUGUACGCAUUGUCAAAAUUACACAAAAAUUGACACACACAUGUAUCUCAAUAAGAUCUACAAAAAAGUAAUUGCUGGCGUAUCUGUCAAAUGUACGGUUAAAGGGUUAUUGCGCAUUUUUUGCCGAUCCGCACACAUUGGAAUUUCGCUAACUCCUCCGAAGGCUUUCGUUCCACUGGCACCACAUUUGCUCAGGCCAAUCUACACCCCAUGGCCAUUAAAAGUUAUUCAAAUCAUGACGCUGCACCCCACGGUUUAGGUUCUAGGGGGCGCCAAAGAUAACCCUAAAAUCCACAUAUUUAAAAGUCUUAUAACUUUUUAUUUUUGCACUCACUGGCCUCCAAGUUUUCUAGGAUGAUGCAAUGUCCAGCCAUCAACACAUUUGUGAAGGAAUUUUUACUCCCCAAAAGAGCGCCCCCCCAUGGCAGGAGAAAAAAGUCCAUUUUUUCUUGUCCCCUAAGG